ACACCGAUUCACUUCAGUAUUCUGCAGAAGAAGAACAUCUGGCAGAAGAAGCGUCUACAUCACACUCACACAAAUAAGUGCUUUCUGGGAUCAUCUUUUUUGCAUGCUGCAUAAGAUGUGUGCUGUGAUGCUGAAAAAUGCCGUCUAGACACAGUAGGCAGCUCACUAGGUUUUGCAUGAACAAUUGAGCAUCUUUACAUCACUGCAUCAUUUGCAAGACAAGAUGCUGAAUCUGAACACACUUCUGUCAGUGCUGCAUAAUGAUGCAACUUUGAGAAAAGCACACUUCAUCUGCUCACGAAUGUGAAUGACACUCAUCUAUCUGGGAUGUGGUAUAUUCUGUGUGAGACGCUGGUUUGGGACGUCCUGUGCCUGGAGAUAAGAGGAGACGGCACGGCUCUUUCUCGCUGUGAUACACAUCAAACAUUCAUCCUGUCUUAUCAUCGCUGUUUGAGAAAAAUAGUCCAACAUGUCACCUUAGACAUGUUACGGCCGGGUUGAUUCAGUUUGCACAGGUGAAAGAAAGAAUCAAUGAUAAUAUCUGACACAGAACUGUCGGUGGUUUGGGACGUCCUGCGCCUGCAGAUAACAUGAGAUCGUCCAGCUCUUCCUCGAACAUUCAUCCCGUCUCAUCACUGUUUAUGAAAACAGUCGAGCGUCUCACGUGGAGAUGUUUCAGAGCGUGUCUGACUGAUGGAGGGGACGUGUAAAUCAAACCCGCUGUCCAUAAAAGAGCAGCACUGGAGACUGUGUGAAGUCGGCCCCUGCGGGACGUUGUUAAAACACUGCGCUCUGUUUGAUGUGUGCCAUUUCCAUGGCUUCUGUACGGCUUUCCAGUCUCUUUAAUUCACAGAGCCGUGUCAGCAUUCAGCCUCAAAUGUGUCUUUGAUUCGGAGAGGACCAGGGCUUUACUUCCACGCCUCGAGGACUUUAAUCCCUCAACCUCUUCUCUGCUCUUCUGUCUGUCUGACACAGAAAGGAUCUGAUUCUGCUGGACUCAACGAAGUGAUGCAACCACGUUCAUCAUCCAAGUGCAUUCAAAAACUC
Molecule: long non-coding RNA, 1047 nt
Organism: Carassius auratus (goldfish)
Lineage: Eukaryota; Metazoa; Chordata; Actinopteri; Cypriniformes; Cyprinidae
Exons: 3
Source: RefSeq, a predicted model, not a curated record